AAACUGCUUUUUUUCUAUGUGUAGCUCAACAGGAUAACUUGAUUCAGUCGUUGGAUGAAAUGCCAGAUGUUAGAACUCAAACAGAUGAUUUUAAUAAAGCUGCCAUGCGUAAACAAGAUGCUGCCUCUGAGGCCGAAGAGCGGUAUUUCCUACAAGAAGAAAGUAAGCUCCAAAAAAUAGAGAUGUACAGAGCCAAAAAGUUGAAGAUCAUGGAGCAGAUGCUGGAGAUACAACGGAGGUCUACUGUGGCCCAAGAAGCCAUUAGAGCUUCACAGCGGACAGAACACCAGUUUGGAAUAGAUCUCCAUUGUUUCUCACCAGUUAUUAAAUUCUCUGAAAGUUA
This is a long non-coding RNA of Mytilus californianus (California mussel), 343 nucleotides long. RefSeq lists it as uncharacterized. The record is from RefSeq and is a predicted model, not a curated record. NCBI's taxonomy places the organism in Eukaryota, Metazoa, Mollusca, Bivalvia, Mytilida, Mytilidae. The transcript has 2 exons.